Molecule: ribosomal RNA, 764 nt
Filed under: Prevotella melaninogenica
Lineage: Bacteria; Pseudomonadati; Bacteroidota; Bacteroidia; Bacteroidales; Prevotellaceae
Description: bacterial SSU rRNA
Rfam family: Bacterial small subunit ribosomal RNA
Source: RNAcentral
GAUGAACGCUAGCUACAGGCUUAACACAUGCAAGUCGAGGGGAAACGGCAUUUAGUGCUUGCACUGAAUGGACGUCGACCGGCGCACGGGUGAGUAACGCGUAUCCAACCUUCCCAUUACUGUGGGAUAACCUGCCGAAAGGCAGACUAAUACCGCAUAGUCUUCGAUGACGGCAUCAGAUUUGAAGUAAAGAUUUAUCGGUAAUGGAUGGGGAUGCGUCUGAUUAGCUUGUUGGCGGGGUAACGGCCCACCAAGGCGACGAUCAGUAGGGGUUCUGAGAGGAAGGUCCCCCACAUUGGAACUGAGACACGGUCCAAACUCCUACGGGAGGCAGCAGUGAGGAAUAUUGGUCAAUGGGCGCGAGCCUGAACCAGCCAAGUAGCGUGCAGGAUGACGGCCCUAUGGGUUGUAAACUGCUUUUGUAUGGGGAUAAAGUUAAGGACGUGUGACUGUUUGCAGGUACCAUACGAAUAAGGACCGGCUAAUUCCGUGCCAGCAGCCGCGGUAAUACGGAAGGUCCAGGCGUUAUCCGGAUUUAUUGGGUUUAAAGGGAGCGUAGGCCGGAUAUUAAGUGUGUUGUGAAAUGUAGACGCUCAACGUCUGACUUGCAGCGCAUACUGGUUUCCUUGAGUACGCACAACGUUGGCGGAAUUCGUCGUGUAGCGGUGAAAUGCUUAGAUAUGAACGAAGAACUCCCGAUUGCGAAGGCAGCUGGACGGGAGCGCGACUGACGCUUAAGCUCGAAGGUGCGGGUAUCAAACAGG